This is a long non-coding RNA of Gallus gallus (chicken), 3129 nucleotides long. RefSeq lists it as uncharacterized. The transcript is spliced from 3 exons. NCBI's taxonomy places the organism in Eukaryota, Metazoa, Chordata, Aves, Galliformes, Phasianidae. The record is from RefSeq and is a predicted model, not a curated record.
GCACAACACUGCUGAAAUCACUGCGGCCCUUUCUAGUCCUGCGGCUCCAAUCUCUACGUGAUGAGAAUAAAACCCUUUUGUGCGGCACAGGGCUUGAUGGAGCCCUUAUCUCCGUGCCUCUGCACCCAGAAUAGAAAAAUCCAUUUCCACAUCUGACUGGAACAAAUCCUCCUGAACUCGGCCAUCGUUUCACUGCACACAGUCCUUGUGGCCCCUGGGGUGCCCAGAAACAACCUCAGUGUCCUUAGGAGGAUCAGAAGGGUAUCUGGAUUAGCGUUGUUGUCACAGAGAAAACUGAGAAUUCACCAGGAGGAAGAAGGAGCUGAGCUGAGAGGCUGGAGGUGGGAGGCAGAGAGCUGAAUCCCCUGCAGAGCUGCCUUCCUACUGGGUUCACAUUCGGAGUACCAAAAUGAUGUCUCCUUGGCACACCCGCUCAGCGCCAGCAUUGCAGUGCUUGGGCUCUUCAGGGAUGUCGGUAUUUUAAGAAGUCAACCAGUUGGUGGAGUUUCUCAAAUGGUGACUUGAAGCAGAUGGAAUUACAAAGGCGUGUGAAGUGAAGCCUCAGCUCAGUUUGGUGAGGAAAGCAGUGGCAGCCACUCUGGAGAAGGAAACCCUUACUGUACCUCCCCUCACUGCUCUCAGAUGCUUUCAGGUUGGAUAUAAGGAAAAACUUCUCAGAAAGAGCGGUGCUGCAGUGGCACAGGCUGCCCAGGGACGUGGUGGAGUCACCGUCACUAGAGGUGUUCAGAGCUGUGUGGAUGUGGCACUGAGGACGUGGUCAGUGGGCACGGUGGGGAUGGGAUGGUGGUUGGACCAGGUGAUCUUAGAGGUCUUUUCCAACCUUAAUGAUUCUAUGAUUGCUGCAAGGUCCCCAUUCUCUGUCCCACGCCUUUUUCAGUACCUGGCUAUCAGCCAUCACCGUACUCCCUAGUUGAUGCCAUUUUUCCUCUGUCCUACAGGGACUGCUGUGCUGGCUGUGCUCCACGUUCACUUUGCUCUACUCAUUGCUGCAAGAGGCACACGACAGGCUGCCAUUUAAAGAGCUGUGUCGUCCACAUGUCUGGCCACUUGGUAGCUGUAUCUUUUUGCCCUUCUACUCUUUUUAACCCCUUAGACAGGCAGGGGCUUCAGCAGUUCAUCUUCAUUCUGCUGGCAUUUCUUCGCUGCGCUCCAUUGGGUGCUGUGGAAGCCUUUUUAAUGCAACAGAUUGUGAAUCCCACAGCCAUGAAUAGUUUGGCUGCUUUUCUCACUACAACCUACAGUGUGGGGAGCUGGUGCAUGGAUGGAAGGAGGGGGAGAUGUGAAAGGUAGCAGAAGAUAGAAACUGGCUACCAAUCAUUUUCUUUUCUCUUUGAGUUGAGCCUACACUCCUCAGCAUAUGACUGCUCAUGCUCAGGGGAAUAAGUGUGCUUUGUAAGAGGAGCUAAGCAAAAGGCUGGGACAAACUGGGAGUUCAGCUUUAGCUCCCUGAGGCUGAGCCUCCUGUCCUAGCACACCUGCCCCAUGCCAUCCCUUCACACCACAUGCCUUCUUUCAAGUGUCCUGUGAGACAUCUCUCUAUCACUCAGCCAGCUCUUGUCAUUGAACCUACCUGGAGUCCAUCCUCCAACAUCUCCUGAGCUAAGGGAACUUUAUGUCUAAAUUGUCUGUGGAUGAGAGUGCCCAUAUACUACCAAGGGCUCUGGUAUGAGAAUCUUCUUGGUGGCUGUAGCUUAGCAACAGCAUUCAUGGAGAAGCUCAAGGUUUGAGGACAGACAUAGCCUGUAGGAAUGAAGCCAAACUGGCGGGAGAGACCUUCAUCCCACCCACCCUUGUGCAUUGCUGCUCUUCCACAGGCCCACUUACAGCUUCCUUCCAGCAACUGAUGCACACUCAUCCAACACUCACAGCAACACACGCCCUCUCACACUCUGACACAACUUGUCACAUGCACACUCAUUGCUAUAUAUAUUUGCAUGACUACACUUAAGCAUCCCACAGUUGCAUAAACAUUCUUCCUCGCCUGCAUUUUUAUGCACUUAUGUACACAUAAACCUUUAUCUGUAUGUAUCUGUACCCACCCCACAGUCACACACAGGAUAGCAUCAGUGCCAAAUUAUGCAUUCCCCUCCAACGCUGACUCCUCAAUCCUUGAUCCUGUUCAGCCAUCCUCACACACAUACAGUCCACUGAUCAAAUUUUUACAUACAACCACUUUCAUAUAUUUGCAGGCACAUCAUUUCCUCUCCAUCCAAAGCCAAAUAGUCCACAAUUUCCCACAAGAACAGUCAGCUGCUAGUAUUUCCCAGACUCCUCCAACACACAUUGGAGAUCCCUCUGGCCCCCUCUGCUUCCUGCCCCCAUUCUCUGCUGAUACAUACUUUGAUGUCCUGUACCAGCCAAACAUUCCUUUAUACAGAGAUCAGAGGAUCAGAGAGAUUGUGUAUUCUCAGGAGAGCCAAAUCUAUAGCAUCUCCCUUCUCCUAAACACACAGAAUUGUUCUGCUCAGUUGGCUUUUAAGUCCAAAGGCAUUUUGUUUAUUUACAGCCAGGCUGAGGGAGAGAAAAAGAGAAAAGGCAUUUCAGUUUAUAAGAAACCCUGCCUCCAACCCAUGCCUCACUGGCUUAUUUUCUACUCUUGUUACACCUCCCAUCAGGGUGCAGUCACCAGAAGAGCUUGAAGUUUGUAGAUUUUGGGAAAGAAAUGUCCCAUUUGCACUGCCAAGUAAUUCUCAUCAUCAAGUGGUCUCCAGCCAGGACCAGUGAGGGGGUAAGUUGUCCCUAAGACUUUUUGAAGAGCUAGAAAAAUGUCAGCCAUUCAUGGAACAGGCUGCUGGUGGCUUUUAGCUGCAGACAUUUGUCCUUCCUGUUCUUCCUCCAGCGUAAACCACUUCUCAUGUCCACAAGGAGGAUAACCAAGGCACUGGGAUGCCUGUUCUAGAUCUUCAGAGGCACACAUCACAUAUACCUAUUUGAGAACUCUCUUGAAGUGCCAGUCACGUGGUAGCUGAUGCUCUUCAUAGACUUCUCUGGGGGACAUUCUGGCACUUCCUGGCUCUGGACACGGCGGGAUGGCCUGAAGAUGGCCCUUCGGAAGCCCUGCUUGAAGCGGUAGGAGAGGAAGCCAUAGAUGAUAGGAUUGGCACAGCU